UUUGUUUAGAGGGAAUUCGAUGGCGAAGAUAAUUUCGCUAUAGGAAAGUCCGGACACCACAGGGCAUGAUUCCAUAUGAAAAUGUGGGGGGUUGCGUGAGAACAGCAAUUCACGGAAAGUACAACAGAAAAUAUACCGCCGUAAGGUAAGGGUGAAAAGGUAGAGGUAAGAGCUCACCGGAUAUUCGAGUAAUCGGUAUCGCAUGGGAAACCCAAUCAGGUGCAAGACAAAAUAAGGAAUGGGGUUGCCCGCCCAAUGAUUCCGGGUAAGUCGCAUUUCUCUUAGAAAAACAAUCGAAAGAUUGUUAGAUAAAUGAAUUCCAAGCUGUAAAGCUUACAGAAUCCGGCUUAUAUCUAAGCAAAACAC
RNAcentral lists this RNase P RNA (366 nucleotides) under Puniceicoccales bacterium. RNAcentral's name for it is "RNase P RNA component class A". It matches the Rfam family "Bacterial RNase P class A". Rfam says of the family: Ribonuclease P (RNase P) is a ubiquitous endoribonuclease, found in archaea, bacteria and eukarya as well as chloroplasts and mitochondria. Lineage: Bacteria; Pseudomonadati; Verrucomicrobiota; Opitutia; Puniceicoccales. The record is from RNAcentral.